AUUUCUGACAUAAAAACCAAACCUAUCUGAGGCAGCUUAAUACACACUGUAAGUCCCCCUAUUUGAAGGAAAAACACCAAGACGGAGACCACAAAUCGGAGGAGGAGCUUACUUUGCUGCUUAGACUACUCAGGAAAUAUACUAUGAGCAAGAUUGCGGUGGAUAAAUAAGAUUAAAGAAACCACAAGAUAGAAGGGAUACUCAUCAAAGCUACUGCUUUUGUAGCCUAGUGUUUUGAAUUGAAAUGCUUCUUUGAGACCACUUCAUUAGUAGAUACUUUCUUUCAGCCAACUUCAGUUGCACCACCGGGUUGGCACGAAUAUGUAUAUGCGAAUAACCCUAACCCACACAAACGAAGUAUAAAUCUUCAACCAGGGGUGGUGAUUACUAUUAAACGUAUUCACAAUUUUACCAACCAGCUCUAUCCUGAGUACUCUCCCGUUAAGCUGUCACAAAAACAACAAUAGCCAGUAAUAUUUAUACGAAUCCUUCAGCAUGUCACUGUGGACGUCGCUUCAUCGUCUUUGCUCAACGACGAUUUUUGCAGUUUUGCCCGACAUUUAUUGAUGCCAUAAAGUUGAAGAUUUAUGAUACAACCGCCCGACGAACCAAAGAAAUGACUUUGGUAUUAUUUUUCAAAUAGUGUUUCGAGGGGGUUUCACAUAGACUACCCUGAACUGUACUUCAGCGUAUGAAUUUGACAUGCUGUAAGUGGUAUACAAUUUCUUGAAGCUGGAUUGAUUUCGAAUCCAAUUUGUUACAUUAGAAAUCGAACACAUCACAACAGCUGGUGAAUAUUUUUACUUAUGUGCGGUUGUAAAGAAAUACGUUUUGUUGCAAGCAAACAAACAAAGGAAUGUAAAUAAUGUCGAUUUCCUGCCGAAUUUGCUUUGUGGAAAGCUCGGACAAUUUUUCUAUUCACAGUUGCAUGAAGGGGAAAUUUUUACCUGAUGUCAUUUACAACAUCAGUGGAGUGAGGGUUUUGAAAAAAUUUGAACCCAACACACAAAUUUGUCGACGCUGCGCUGCCUCGGUAUUGGUAGCUGAGAAUAUAAUUUUACGAUGUCAGGAAUCGGAGGAGUACUUUCAGUUUCAACUUUUGCAAGAAGGAUGCCUUCAAGGCCAACAAGUAAACCCGACAUCUGCUUGUCAGUAUACGAAUGAGAGAGAAUCGCCUAGAAUCGAUUAUGAAGAAUAUUGUUCUGGAAUCACUUGUGACGAUGAUUUUGAAGAAUCUUUAAAUUGGCAACCACGUUUGGCUGAUUCCAAAUACCAAACAAAAUCUAAAAGCAUAAAAGAGAACAUAAGUGACGUUGUUAAUUGCGAAGACAAUCUACUUCGAAAUUCAGCUCAGUAUGAACCAGAAGCUAAAACAAUUAAUAAUAUAGAAACUACUACUUUAUCUAUGUUCUCUUGUGAUCAAUGUGAUUAUAGCACCAAGGUAGGCAAACGUAUAAUAGAACAUAAGCAAACUGAUCAUGGAGUGCAUGAUCCGAACAUAUACGCUUGUACAAUUUGUUCUGAACGUUUUUCUUGGAAACCGACACUAUAUCGCCACAUAGAAUUAAUACAUAAAACUUUACCUGCAGAUAAGAAAUUCUUAUGUAAUGAAUGUGGCCGUGCUUACAUGCGUGAAGUACAUCUAAUCGAACAUAUAAAACAACGGCAUGGACCACGCAAAUUCAAAUGCCCUGACCCAUUAUGCGAACAAUCCUUUACACGAACAUUCACGCUUAGACGACAUUUUAUCACCACACAUACCGAAAAGACAAGUACACGUUAUCAUUGUGUCGAUUGCGAUAAAUAUUUCAAAGUUUACGAUCAAUGGAAGUACCACAAUGAAGUGGUUCAUAAAAAUGAGAUCGUAUACUGUCCGCAUUGCGGGUAUCCUUUCCGUUUCAAAGAAAAAUUAGAGGAACAUUUGCAGAAAGAUGUCUGCAAGCGUAGUGUUGUGCCUUGCUCUUAUUGCCAAAGGCGUUUUACUACAAAAUCUGGACUCAGGGAGCACGUACGUAAUAUACAUAACAUCUAUUAGAGAAGGUAUGUAACCCGUGUGAUGUGGUGUCAAACGAUUUGAAGCAUAUAAAAUGUGAUUUUGGUAUCACUUUAUAUCUCGUUAAAUAGUUUGAAUUUGAGACAGGAACUCAUUUAUAUACAUAUAUAUUGUAGUAUACCAUCAAUGCAUUCAAAAAUUGAUGUAUGCAUAUUUCGAAACUUUUCAUACAACUCAUUUUAAAUAAAGAUUUUUAAACAGUGGCCUAUGUAGCCUCGGAGUUGCCAUAUCACUAAAAUAGACAGAAUCCUCCGCAAAUCCGGACGGUAAAUAGUUUAACAAUGUGGAAGCACUAGGCAUUAUUUACGAACAACUGUAACAAAACAACAACGCAAAGACGGAUAAAAAAUAUAAAAUAAACCAAGGUAAAUUUAACAAAAUACAUACAUAUAUUGUAUAUGUAUGAGCAAUUUGCAUGAACAUAAGAGCAUUUUCUUAAGGGAAAGGAAAUAAAUUAAAAGAAAUCGUUCAGAACACCAUUUGCAAAAUAGCAAUAAAUAAUGAGACUGUGAAAGCUUUAAAGCUAAGAGAAAGAAAUUAUCUGUUUGUGUAUUUCAAUUGAGCAAACCCAAACGCCACAGAUACCGAAACAUAUAAUUAUGGUCUUAUACAAUCAACAAAUCGAACUGUCUGCCAUAAGCCAAAAUGUUAAUGUGCUUUAAUUAAAUUAUGAAAGAAGUGACGUAGCAGAUUGUGUGUUGGGAACCUAUGGCGUUUCUACUGAUUGUAGCAGAGGGAGGAGCAGUGGCUUGGUAUUGUUGCACAGGUUAUUUGCCAAUUUACUGUCUCAGCCGGCAAUAUCGAUAAAUAUUUGAGUUUGAGGAAAUAGGUUAUUAAAUAAUUUAAGGGGCUCAACGAUUUACUAUCAAAUUCAACUGAACAUACGAAAUUUCAGUGCAACAUGAAUAAGUGCGCUGAAACCAUAGCAAUAAUAUAUGAGAUUAUGUGAAGAGGUUGCAUUAAAUAUAACGGCAAUCUGAACAAAAUUACAUUUUUGUACUUGUACUAGUUACAAUUUUAUCAAUUCAUCUUGAUGGUUAUUAAUUUACCGCAGCAAAGGCAUAAGACAUCUCAAGAAAGCUUAGCAUAUUAAAGAGCGGUCCGACAAAUAUAUAUAUUAU
Molecule: unclassified non-coding RNA, 3174 nt
Filed under: Ceratitis capitata (Mediterranean fruit fly)
Lineage: Eukaryota; Metazoa; Arthropoda; Insecta; Diptera; Tephritidae
Description: metallophosphoesterase 1, transcript variant X2
Source: RNAcentral